This 369-nucleotide unclassified non-coding RNA is filed under the name Mortierella sp. RNAcentral's name for it is "partial contains 5.8S ribosomal RNA, internal transcribed spacer 2, and large subunit ribosomal RNA". The record is from RNAcentral. Lineage: Eukaryota; Fungi; Mortierellomycota; Mortierellomycetes; Mortierellales; Mortierellaceae.
CGCAUAUUGCGCUCUUUGGUAUUCCGAAGAGCAUGCUUGUUUGAGUAUCAGUAAACACCUCAAAAUCUUUUUUAUUUUUGAUAAAAAAAAAAGGAGAUUUUGGAUUUGAGUGAUCCUAACGAGUGAAAAAUCUUGGCAGGUCAUUUGAAAUGCAGGUGCAGCUGAAUAUUUCUUCUGAGCUAUAAGCAUAUUUAUUUAGUCCUUAUUUUUUUUUCGAAAGAGAAUGAAUAGGAUUAUUACUUUUGCUGCAGCUAACAUAAAGGUUGAUUUAUUCAAAAUGGCUGACUGAUGCAGGAAUUUAUCAGUUAUUAUUUUUUUUUAACUGUGAAUCUCGAUCUCAAAUCAAGUAAGACUACCCGCUGAACUUAA